RNAcentral lists this ribosomal RNA (500 nucleotides) under uncultured bacterium. RNAcentral's name for it is "partial 16S ribosomal RNA". It matches the Rfam family "Bacterial small subunit ribosomal RNA", at positions 30 to 523 of the family's 1533-position model. The record is from RNAcentral.
AUUGAACGCUGGCGGCAUGCUUUACACAUGCAAGUCGAACGGUAACAGGGUGCUUGCACCGCUGACAAGUGGCGAACGGGUGAGUAAUGCGUCGGAACGUGCCGAGUAGUGGGGGAUAACGCAGUGGAAGUUGUGCUAAUACCGCAUACGUACUGAGGUAGAAAGUGGGGGACCUUCGGGCCUCACGCUAUUCGAGCGGCCGACGUCUGAUUAGCUAGUAGGUGAGGUAAAGGCUCACCUAGGCGACGAUCAGUAGCGGGUCUGAGAGGAUGUUCCGCCACGCUGGGACUGAGACACGGCCCAGACUCCUACGGGAGGCAGCAGUGGGGAAUUUUGGACAAUGGGCGAAAGCCUGAUCCAGCCAUGCCGCGUGUCUGAAGAAGGCCUUCGGGUUGUAAAGGACUUUUGUCAGGGAGGAAAUCCCUAGUGCUAAUAACACUGGGGGAUGACAGUACCUGAAGAAUAAGCACCGGCUAACUACGUGCCAGCCGCCGCGGUAA